GGCCUACCAUGCAGUCGAGCGGUAACAGGGGUAGCUUGCUACCCGCUGACGAGCGGCGGACGGGUGAGUAAUGCAUAGGAAUCUGCCCGGUAGUGGGGGAUAACCUGGGGAAACCCAGGCUAAUACCGCAUACGUCCUACGGGAGAAAGGGGGCUUCGGCUCCCGCUAUUGGAUGAGCCUAUGUCGGAUUAGCUAGUUGGUGAGGUAAUGGCUCACCAAGGAACGAUCCGUAGCUGGUCUGAGAGGAUGAUCAGCCACAUCGGGACUGAGACACGGCCCGAACUCCUACGGGAGGCAGCAGUGGGGAAUAUUGGACAAUGGGGGCAACCCUGAUCCAGCCAUGCCGCGUGUGUGAAGAAGGCCUUCGGGUUGUAAAGCACUUUCAGCGAGGAAGAACGCCUAGUGGUUAAUACCCAUUAGGAAAGACAUCACUCGCAGAAGAAGCACCGGCUAACUCCGUGCCAGCAGCCGCGGUAAUACGGAGGGUGCAAGCGUUAAUCGGAAUUACUGGGCGUAAAGCGCGCGUAGGUGGCUUGAUAAGCCGGUUGUGAAAGCCCCGGGCUCAACCUGGGAACGGCAUCCGGAACUGUCAAGCUAGAGUGCAGGAGAGGAAGGUAGAAUUCCCGGUGUAGCGGUGAAAUGCGUAGAGAUCGGGAGGAAUACCAGUGGCGAAGGCGGCCUUCUGGACUGACACUGACACUGAGGUGCGAAAGCGUGGGUAGCAAACAGGAUUAGAUACCCUGGUAGUCCACGCCGUAAACGAUGUCGACCAGCCGUUGGGUGCCUAGCGCACUUUGUGGCGAAGUUAACGCGAUAAGU
Molecule: ribosomal RNA, 819 nt
Filed under: Halomonas sp. 2017
Lineage: Bacteria; Pseudomonadati; Pseudomonadota; Gammaproteobacteria; Oceanospirillales; Halomonadaceae
Description: bacterial SSU rRNA
Rfam family: Bacterial small subunit ribosomal RNA
Source: RNAcentral